Molecule: non-coding RNA, 257 nt
Organism: Camellia sinensis
Lineage: Eukaryota; Viridiplantae; Streptophyta; Magnoliopsida; Ericales; Theaceae
Source: RefSeq, a predicted model, not a curated record
GCAUGUUCUGGUUGAGCAUUAUGCAACAACUAACCUAGGAGGACUACAUCUUGAAGAAAAGAGAGAGUUGGAGCGUCUGGAAAAACCCAUGAUUUUUGGAUAUAUGUUAGUUUGUGGUUAAUGUUAAGACAUAAUUUUUGGAUAUAUGUUAGUUUGUGGCUAACGUUAAAACAUGAUUUUUAGAUUUGGAUAUGUUAAUUGUGGGUAAUGGUAUUGGAUAUUAAUUGAAGAGAAAGUGAAUUAAUGCUUCAUUACAA